This 66-nucleotide transfer RNA is filed under the name Dipodomys ordii (Ord's kangaroo rat). It matches the Rfam family "tRNA". Rfam says of the family: Transfer RNA (tRNA) molecules are approximately 80 nucleotides in length. Their secondary structure includes four short double-helical elements and three loops (D, anti-codon, and T loops). The record is from Rfam by way of RNAcentral. Lineage: Eukaryota; Metazoa; Chordata; Mammalia; Rodentia; Heteromyidae.
GGUGGCUCAGUGGUAGAGUGCUUGUCUUGCAUGCAUGAGGCACUGGGGUUCAAUUCCUCGGCACCA